Long non-coding RNA from Homo sapiens (human), 1692 nucleotides. Ensembl annotates it as long intergenic non-protein coding RNA 2301. The record is from Ensembl. Lineage: Eukaryota; Metazoa; Chordata; Mammalia; Primates; Hominidae.
CUGUGUGAUGGGGCCGGAGCCAGUAAACAGGCUUCCUUCUCGCUCUGCUGUAAGUUUUUCUCUUUCUCCCUUUUCACCCAAGAAGUUCCGUUUUUCCUACCCUUCUACGUGUCCGCGAGUCUAAUCUUUUCUGGCCAUAUGACAAGAACCAGGAUUUUCCUACAAUAUAAUUUGUAUAAGAAGAAGAAGUAGGAGAAACAAAAUAAGGAGGAGAAGAAGUAAAAUAAUUUGAGAAGGAAUAUGAAGAUUUUAUUGGUGGAACAGAGAAAGGAAAAGCAGUUAAGAAAACAAAGCUCAAGAAACUGAAACUAGCCUGAGAAGGAAGAUACUGAGUCAGAUGGAGCCAUUUAUAUAUGGAGAUCCAGGAUUUAUAAGAUCCAUACCAUUGAAUUUGAAGUAAGGAUACGAUCAAGCUGAUAAUCCAAAGUGCACUAACUUCUAAGGACGGAAAUGUUUCUCUGGGGCUAUCAUUGCACCCUCGCUCUCUGGAAUUUCGGUAUCAUGAGAACACAUAAGUAAGAGCCAAAAUUCAUAGGGAUUCUGCCUGGAGAGGAACACAGGGAUUCUGAAAUAACCAUGACAUACAUAAGUACCUCCAAUUAUUUGCCUCUCAGACAAAGCCAGCAGCUGUUGAAAUAUGGUAAGAAAAAUGGUUCAGGGGUUUUCCCCCAUGACUCAAGACAAGCAUUUACAUUAUUUACACACUCAAUGUCUCUUCUGACUUAUGAUUGCCUUACAAUCUAUGGAAUAUAUUUAGUGUCCCUGUGGAAGCAAUUAUACAUGAAACAUCAACAUAUAUUUAUAUAGUAGACAGCACUUUCAUAGGUCCCUGCAGUGUAUUUUAACAGUAGUGGAAACUAAAGUUUUGGUGUAAUGUGUUUUUAUCUAUCAUUCAGAUCAAAGAAUACCCAGUACUUGAAAAGUUUAGAAAGCAGUUGAAAGUUACAUAGAGAUGUAGAAAGCAUUAAAGUGGUAGAAAUUAAUUAAAAGUCUUAGAAUAUAUGAGCUGUAAUUAGACUGGGUUUUAAUGUUUAGUUUGUUAAUAUUUAAAUAUAAACCUCACAAUGGAACUUGGCAAUUUAAGAGAUUUACAGAUAAUUUAUCCUUAAAAGUAUGAAGGAUGUCUGUUACUCAAAUAUCCAUCCCAUUAAAUUGAAAAGUUUUAAGUAUUGAUUCUUCUGUAAAUAAUAGAAGACUCCAUUAAAUUCCUUUACAGUUCUGUACAUCUAGACUAAAAUGAAACACCAAAAUAUGAAAUUAUCUCAAAAUGAAAACAUCUCAAAAUUGAGGAAUUUACUUUCCUACAAUUUGGAAAUUUUUGAUAAUUAAAAAAACAGUUAUAGCAUGAAAAGCAAAUAGGAAGAGUACUUGUAUAUUCACUGACAUUAAAGCCUUCUUCAAAUAUAUUACUAAAGAGAAAGAUAGGUAUUGAUUGAUAUGAGCUUCAGGUAAUAUUUUGCCUACAGCAUGUCUCCAAAAAUCUACUAGAUUUUUAAAGUAGUGUAAUCUAUUCAAUAAAGUUAGCUAUUUGGAUGUUAGUCUCUCCGUAUGCCAAGGAAAAAAGUGUUACUAUCUACCUAUAUAACUGAGUUUAAUAAGUAAAUAAAGAGAUCAUUCUUUUAAGAUACGUUAAAUGUUUCGGGUUCAUGAUAACAUUUGUUGCAUGACAUUAAACCACAACAACGGAAAAAA